This is a long non-coding RNA of Pteronotus mesoamericanus, 814 nucleotides long. RefSeq lists it as uncharacterized. The record is from RefSeq and is a predicted model, not a curated record. The transcript is spliced from 5 exons. Lineage: Eukaryota; Metazoa; Chordata; Mammalia; Chiroptera; Mormoopidae.
UAGGCCUGAGCGUGGCUCCAUUCUUCAGGCUGCCCGAUGAGAUGGGCCCGCAGGGCUUGCAGGUGGUGAUUCAGGUGAAACGCGGUCACGAAGGUGGGCCCUAAUCUGAUAGAACUGGUGGCCUUAGAAGAGAAAAGGCAGUCUCUCUCUGCAUCACGUGAGGACACAGUGAGAGGGCUGCUAUCAGCAACUCAGAGAGAGAGGAGUCCUCAUCAGAGGCUAAUCAUGCUGGCACCUCAUCUCAUACUUCUAGUCUCUACAACUAAGUGAAGAACUAUGUAACAGAAGAGUCACAUGAUGGACGAAGCCCAGAUCCCUGCAUGAUUGUUUGGAAGAAAGCUACCCAUAAGCACGGCAACUGCACUGGACUUUGCACGAUUAAAACUAGAAAAAUACAAAGACUGGUGAAGGUGGUAAAUUUAACGGAUAUUUUAGUACAAUUAAUUUUUCGGGGAAAAACGGAUCACUUGUACACAUAUUAUGUAUGUACUUGUACUGGAGCCUUCAACUCUCUUCAGAACAUUUUCUACUUCAAUUCUGCUUGAGGAAUAUCUAAGGGGAAAUUUGGGCACGGGGAGAACACCGUGUGAAGACAAAGGCAGUGAAUGUAGUGCUGGGUCUACAAGCCAAGGAAUGCCAAAGAGUGUCAACAAAACCACCAGAAAGUGGGACAGAGGCACGGGGCAGACUGUCCUCACAGCUCUCAGAAGGAACCGACCCUGCCCACACCUUGAUCUUGGACUUCUGGACUCCAGAGCCGCGAGAGAACACGUUUCUGUUGUUGAGGCUGCUCAGCCUGCAGCACCAUUACAGC